This 100-nucleotide non-coding RNA is filed under the name Megasphaera sp. UPII 135-E. Its description in RNAcentral is "SAM riboswitch aptamer (S box leader)". It matches the Rfam family "SAM riboswitch aptamer (S box leader)". Rfam says of the family: The SAM riboswitch is found upstream of a number of genes which code for proteins involved in methionine or cysteine biosynthesis in Gram-positive bacteria. The SAM riboswitch acts at the level of transcription termination control. RNAcentral also lists the same sequence under 1 other name. The record is from Rfam by way of RNAcentral. Lineage: Bacteria; Bacillati; Bacillota; Negativicutes; Veillonellales; Veillonellaceae.
GUUCCAUCAAGAGUCGGCGGAGGGAUUGGCCCUGUGAUGCCGCAGCAACCUUCGAUAGAAAGGUGCUAAUUCCAACAGUUAUACUACUGGAAGAUGGGUA